This 896-nucleotide ribosomal RNA is filed under the name uncultured bacterium. RNAcentral describes it as "bacterial SSU rRNA". It matches the Rfam family "Bacterial small subunit ribosomal RNA", at positions 26 to 901 of the family's 1533-position model. The record is from RNAcentral.
AGAGCGAACGUUAGCGGCGGGCUUAACACAUGCAAGUCGAACGAGAAUGAGGGAGCAAUCCUUCUAGUAAAGUGGCGGACGGGUGCGUAACACGUGGACAAUCUACCUUCCGGCGGGGGACAACAGUUCGAAAGGACUGCUAAUACCGCGUACGUCGGCGGGAACUCCGGUUCCUGUCGAGAAAGAUGGCCUCUCCUUGGAAGCUGUCACCGGAAGAUGAAUCCGCGGCCCAUCAGCUAGUUGGUGAGGUAACGGCUCACCAAGGCUAAGACGGGUAGCUGGUCUGAGAGGAUGAUCAGCCACACUGGGACUGCGACACGGCCCAGACUCCUACGGGAGGCAGCAGUGGGGAAUAUUGGGCAAUGGGCGAAAGCCUGACCCAGCCACGCCGCGUGAGUGAUGAAGGCCUUCGGGUCGUAAAGCUCUGUGGGGAGGGACGAACAAGCCGGCCAACUACCGGCCCUGACGGUACCUCCUUAGCAAGCACCGGCUAACCAUGUGCCAGCAGCCGCGGUAAUACAUGGGGUGCAAACGUUGCUCGGAAUUAUUGGGCGUAAAGCGCGCGUAGGCGGUCGCUUAAGUCGGAUGUGAAAUCCCUUGGCUUAACUGAGGAAGUGCAUCCGAGACUGAGCGGCUAGAGUACGAAAGAGGGUCGCGGAAUUCCCGGUGUAGAGGUGAAAUUCGUAGAUAUCGGGAGGAACACCGGCGGCGAAGGCGGCGACCUGGUUCGAGACUGACGCUGAGGCGCGAAAGCGUGGGGAGCAAACAGGAUUAGAUACCCUGGUAGUCCACGCCGUAAACGAUGGAUGCUAGAUGUUUCUGGUAUUGACCCCGGAGGCGUCGUAGCUAACGCGUUAAGCAUCCCGCCUGGGGAGUACGGCCGCAAGGCUAAAACU